AUGUGUUUGUGUGUGUGUGUUUUCUUUUGUUAUGGCAGGGUGAGCAAGGAGAACUGGGGGAAACAGGUUACCCAGGAGACCCUGGUCUUCCAGGCCCACAGGCUGUGAUGACAUCAUUGUGAAAAUCAUAUGGGCCCAAGAGGACCACAAGGGAUCAGAGGACCUCCAGGACCACAAGGCAUUCCAGGCUCUCGGGCUAGUCUGGGUCCCCCAGGUCCACCUGGUUCAAGUGGAAAGCCUGGUGCAAGAGGAGUAAAGGUAAACAUUUUCAAAGUGUGUGAUCACAGCAAUCAU
RNAcentral lists this long non-coding RNA (294 nucleotides) under Coturnix japonica (Japanese quail). RNAcentral describes it as "lncRNA (ENSCJPG00005000814.1)". The record is from RNAcentral. Lineage: Eukaryota; Metazoa; Chordata; Aves; Galliformes; Phasianidae.